CAUGGUUACCUUUAAAGCGGUGGCUGAGGAUCUGCUCGAGGAUGGCAGCGAAGUUAACGAACUCUUCGGAGGAGUCGUCGAUGGGCUCCGCCGUGUAUUUCUCCAGCAGGGUCUUCACCGAGAACCUGGUGGGGACGUGGGUGUCACGGGUGGGGAGGGGAGAGGAGGGGAGGGGAGGGGAGGGACCCCCAAACACCCCGCGUCCAGCACACGUCAGCUUUCAGCAAAAAAUGGUUUUUGCAGACGUUGGCUCUCGAGGCCGGCAGCGGGAAGAGGGCGUCGGGCUGAGCCGCGGGCUGUGGCUCGCUGACCCCAUGUGUCCCCGCGUCCCCGGGGACCCCGCCGGGGCGGCCGCCGCUCCCGCACCGUGCAAGUGGCCAGGAAGGGCGAACAAAGGCCCCCUUCCUCCCCGGCCGUGCGCGGGCGGUGAUGGCUUCCCCUUCCGCCCGGGCUGCUCGUGCUCAGCCGAGAGAGAUGCCGAAGACACAAAAUCCACCCAGCCCGGCAGGACAGCUGGGGACGGGGCAGGUGUCUGCAUGGGGGGGACACACCACCCCGUCUGUGGGUCGCGGCCGCACGUGGGGUGGGUGAGACUGGGGAUCCCCAUGAGGGCAGCCGGAGGGCGCCUCGCCAUGGCAAUGGGGGCUGGAGGUGCCCCAUGGCACGGUGGUGAGGUCUGGAGACAUCCUGGUGGCAGGAUGAGGGGUCUGGAGGUGCCCUGGGCCAUGGCAAGGAGCUCCAGGGGGUCCAAAGGUCAUGACAGUAGAGUCUGGAGGUGCCCCGUGACACAACAAGGAGCCCCGGUGGGUCUCCGUGUCAUGACAGCAGGGUCAGGAGGUGCCCCAUGCGAUGGUGAGGACACCUGGGGGGGGCCCAUGUCAUGACAGCAGGGUCAGGAGGUGCCCUGUGCUAUGGGGAGGAGCUCUGGGGGUCCCCAUGUCACGACAACGGGGUCUGGAGGUGCCCUGUGUGAUGACAAGAAGCCGUGGAGGGUCUCCAUCUCCCAACAGUGGGAUCUAGAGGUGCUCUCUGCCAUGGUGGGGAGCCCCAGGGGUCCCCAUGUCGUGAGAGUGGGGUCUGGAUGUGCCCCAUGCCAUGGCAAGAAGCCCUGGGGUCCCCUAGACCCCUUGGGGUCCCUAGCAUGGUGACCCCAAGCCUCUGUGCCCCCCACAGCCCCCCACCCCCAGCAGCCCCAGAGCCAGGCUCCGGUCACAGCCCCCAAACAGGGGCUGGGGGGGGGGGA
Molecule: long non-coding RNA, 1243 nt
Filed under: Calidris pygmaea (Spoon-billed sandpiper)
Lineage: Eukaryota; Metazoa; Chordata; Aves; Charadriiformes; Scolopacidae
Description: lncRNA (ENSCPGG00000003855.1)
Source: RNAcentral